Molecule: ribosomal RNA, 768 nt
Filed under: uncultured Acidobacteriota bacterium
Lineage: Bacteria; Pseudomonadati; Acidobacteriota
Description: bacterial SSU rRNA
Rfam family: Bacterial small subunit ribosomal RNA
Source: RNAcentral
GUCGCACGAGAAAGUGGAGCAAUCCAUGAGUACAGUGGCGUACGGGUGAGUAACACGUGGAUCAUCUACCUCUUAGUGGGGAAUAACCCUGGGAAACCGGGGCUAAUACCGCAUAAGCUCGAGAGAGGAAAGCAGCAAUGCGCUGAGAGAGGAGUCCGCGGCCGAUUAGCUAGUUGGCAGGGUAAAUGCCUACCAAGGCAAAGAUCGGUAGCCGGCCUGAGAGGGCACACGGCCACACUGGCACUGAAACACGGGCCAGACUCCUACGGGAGGCAGCAGUGGGGAAUCUUGCACAAUGGGGGAAACCCUGAUGCAGCGACGCCGCGUGAGCGAUGAAGCCCUUCGGGGUGUAAAGCUCUUUCGGCAGGGAAGAUCAUGACGGUACCUGCAGAAGCAGCUGCGGCUAACUACGUGCCAGCAGCCGCGGUAAUACGUAGGCAGCGAGCGUUGUUCGGAGUUACUGGGCGUAAAGGGUGUGUAGGCGGUUGCUUAAGUUUGGUGUGAAAUCUCCCGGCUCAACUGGGAGGGUGCGCCGAAUACUGAGUGACUCGAGUGCGGGAGAGGAGAGUGGAAUUCCUGGUGUAGCGGUGAAAUGCGUAGAUAUCAGGAGGAACACCGGCGGUGUAGACGGCUCUCUGGACCGUAACUGACGCUGAGACACGAAAGCGUGGGUAGCAAACAGGAUUAGAUACCCUGGUAGUCCACGCCCUAAACGAUGCAUAUUUGGUGUGGGUCAUUCAGUUGAUCCGUGCCGGAGCUAACGCGUUA